RNAcentral lists this long non-coding RNA (816 nucleotides) under Physcomitrium patens. RNAcentral describes it as "long non-coding RNA (PPAT_LNC011100)". Lineage: Eukaryota; Viridiplantae; Streptophyta; Bryopsida; Funariales; Funariaceae. The record is from RNAcentral.
CCGGCGACCCAACGCACUUCCUGGCCUCGUUCAAGAACUUCUCGAUGUUCUUGGAGAUCAGCCCUGGCACGUCCUUCAUGAGGUGGAAGAUGAGCCCCGCCUCCGUGAGGUGCCCGUCGAUGGCGCCGUCGCUCUCCGGCAAGAUCGACUCGCCCGCCCAGUGCACCUCGAACAACGCCUUCUCCGCCUCGGGCUUGGGGUCGGAUCCCACCACGUACACGCCGGCGCCAUCGCCGAACAGCGCCGAUCCCACCAGGCCGUCCAAGUGGUUCUCGCUCGGGGCGCGGUAGGUGACGGCCGUGACCUCGCUGCACACCGCCAGCACCCUGGCGCCCUUGUUGUUCUCGGCCAGAUCCUUGGCCACCCGGAGCACGGACGCGCCGCCGAAGCACCCGGUCUGGUACAUCAUCACCCGCUUCACGGUGGGCUUCAACCCCAGCAGCUUGGCCAGGGCGUGGUCGGCUCCGGGCAUGUUCACGCCGCUGGUGGUGGCGAACACGAUGUGUGUGAUGUCGGACUUGCGGCCGCCCCACUCCUUGAUGGCCUUCUGCGCGGCCUCGGCAGCCAGCUUGGGCACCUGGACGACGACGAUGUCGUGGCGGACGUUCAGGGAGGGCUCCAUGUACGUGCACAUGCUGGGGUUGGCCUUGAGCACCUCCUCCGUGAGGAACAUGUGGCGCUUCCUGAUGCCAGACUUGUCGCAGAUGCGCUUGAAUUUGGCGUGCAGGGCCUCCUUCUCGCUGGUGUUGGUGAUGUUGAAGAAGAAGUCGGGGUACUCGCUCUGCAGGAACUCGGUGGGAGGCACAGCAGUGCCGA